This is a long non-coding RNA of Mya arenaria, 625 nucleotides long. RefSeq lists it as uncharacterized. The record is from RefSeq and is a predicted model, not a curated record. The transcript is spliced from 3 exons. Lineage: Eukaryota; Metazoa; Mollusca; Bivalvia; Myida; Myidae.
GAUACGUAUGACCGGAGCAUGGUCGUCGGUUCACAGACCUCAAGCUGGGUGUGCUCGAGAAAUGGCCGUUCGCCGAUGUCUCCGGAUCAUUCUCUGUCCAAGAUUCGUUCGAGGUUUUUGUGAAUGGCGAACUUCUGUUUUCUAAACUAGAGACUAAGGAAUUUCCACAGGAAACACAGAUGUUUGGGCGAAUCUACGACAAAGUCAACAAAAUACCAGACGACCAGCGCCGUGGAUCUUCCACUCUUUGUACAUUAUUAUAAAACUCUUCAUUUUAAGUGUCAUCUAUGCCACACUUUAGUUAAUUUAUUAAUGGAAAUAUAUACUUGUGGCAUUAAUGCACCAAUCAAUGUUUGGCCAACGGGUGAAAGGGGGCAUCUACGACCUUCUGGACAAUGACAAAUUUCCCUGCUCCCGGGGUGGGAUUAAGACGAUUCAUUUUGAAUUUUGUCUAAAUUCCUUGGGUGUGAUCAUCACCCAUCGGGGUAUCAAAAUAUUGGGAUAAGUGCAAAAGGUAACUCAUCGUCGGAUACCAACAUGAGACCAGUUUAAUUUCUCUAGAUUCAUCGAAUUGAGUGCAACGGAAUUGGUCGGUCGUGGGUGCCCGACGACGAAAGUACCUUUA